Molecule: ribosomal RNA, 558 nt
Filed under: uncultured bacterium
Lineage: Bacteria
Description: bacterial SSU rRNA
Rfam family: Bacterial small subunit ribosomal RNA
Source: RNAcentral
UGAGGAAUCUUGCGCAAUGGGGGCAACCCUGACGCAGCCACGCCGCGUGCCGGAAGACGGCCCUAUGGGUUGUAAACGGCUUUUACCAGGGAAGAAAGUGCGCCUUUCGAGGGGCAUUGACGGUACCUGGAGAAUCAGCACCGGCUAACUCCGUGCCAGCAGCCGCGGUAAUACGGAGGGUGCAAGCGUUGUCCGGAAUUAUUGGGUGUAAAGGGUGCGCAGGCGGAAGCUUAAGUCGAGGGUGAAAGACAACCGCUCAACGGUUGCAGUGCCCCCGAUACUGGGUUUCUUGAGUUCAGAAGAGGUUGGUGGAAUUCGUGGUGUAGCGGUGAAAUGCAUAGAGAUCACGAAGAACACCGGUGGCGAAGGCGGCCAACUGGUCUGGAACUGACGCUGAGGCACGAAAGCGUGGGGAGCGAACAGGAUUAGAUACCCUGGUAGUCCACGCUGUAAAUGAUGUAUGCUAGAUGUCGGCCUUCGGGGUCGGUGUUGUAGUUAACGCGCUAAGCAUACCACCUGGGGAACCCAUGGCAAGCUUAUCGAUACCGUCGACCUCGA